GCAGCAAGCCAGACGACCGCCCCCGCGCAAGCGGGAGAGGAAAGUCCGAACUCCGCAGGGUAGUGCGCCGGGUAACGCCCGGUCAGGGUGACCUGAAGGAUAGUGGCACAGAAAAGAUACCGCCCGACUUCGCGCUUCGCGCUUCGUCGGGCAGGCCCGCGGGGCUUGCCCGACGUAGCUCGCCGGUACGCCGCAAGGCGCCGGCGAGCGGAGGAGGGUAAGGGUGAAAAGGUGCGGUAAGAGCGCACCGCGCCCGUGGUAACACGGGUGGCAGGCAAAACCCCGCACGGAGCAAGACCAAAUAGGGAGGCGCCCGGCGAAAGCCGGACCGGACGGCCCGUCCGAGUCUCCGGGUAUGUCGCUUGAUCCCGCCAGCAAUGGCGGGACUAGAGGAAUGGUCGUUAUCCCGCCGAAGCGCCGCAAGGCGCGGAGGCGGGCACAGAAUUCGGCUUACCGGCUUGCUGCGACG
RNAcentral lists this RNase P RNA (469 nucleotides) under Acidobacteria bacterium RIFCSPLOWO2_12_FULL_66_10. RNAcentral's name for it is "RNase P RNA component class A". It matches the Rfam family "Bacterial RNase P class A". Rfam says of the family: Ribonuclease P (RNase P) is a ubiquitous endoribonuclease, found in archaea, bacteria and eukarya as well as chloroplasts and mitochondria. Its best characterised activity is the generation of mature 5'-ends of tRNAs by cleaving the 5'-leader elements of precursor-tRNAs. Lineage: Bacteria; Pseudomonadati; Acidobacteriota. The record is from RNAcentral.